GAGUUUGAUCCUGGCUCAGAUUGAACGCUGGCGGCAUGCCUUACACAUGCAAGUCGAACGGCAGCAUGAUCUAGCUUGCUAGAUUGAUGGCGAGUGGCGAACGGGUGAGUAAUACAUCGGAACGUGCCCUGUAGUGGGGAUAACUAGUCGAAAGAUUAGCUAAUACCGCAUACGACCUGAGGGUGAAAGUGGGGGACCGCAAGGCCUCAUGCUAUAGGAGCGGCCGAUGUCUGAUUAGCUAGUUGGUGGGGUAAAGGGCCCACCAAGGCGACGAUCAGUAGCUGGUCUGAGAGGACGAUCAGCCACACUGGGACUGAGACACGGCCCAGACUCCUACGGGAGGCAGCAGUGGGGAAUUUUGGACAAUGGGCGAAAGCCUGAUCCAGCAAUGCCGCGUGUGUGAAGAA
Molecule: ribosomal RNA, 407 nt
Filed under: uncultured microorganism
Description: bacterial SSU rRNA
Rfam family: Bacterial small subunit ribosomal RNA
Source: RNAcentral